This 273-nucleotide ribosomal RNA is filed under the name uncultured bacterium. RNAcentral's name for it is "partial 16S ribosomal RNA". It matches the Rfam family "Bacterial small subunit ribosomal RNA", at positions 524 to 796 of the family's 1533-position model. The record is from RNAcentral.
UACGAAGGGUGCAAGCGUUAAUCGGAAUUACUGGGCGUAAAGCGCGCGUAGGUGGUUUGUUAAGUUGGAUGUGAAAGCCCCGGGCUCAACCUGGGAACUGCAUCCAAAACUGGCAAGCUAGAGUAUGGCAGAGGGUGGUGGAAUUUCCUGUGUAGCGGUGAAAUGCGUAGAUAUAGGAAGGAACACCAGUGGCGAAGGCGACCACAUGGGCUAAUAAUGAAACUGAGGUGAGAAAGCGUGGGGAGAACACAGGCUUCGAUACCAGCGUAGUCC